Long non-coding RNA from Girardinichthys multiradiatus, 486 nucleotides. RefSeq lists it as uncharacterized. NCBI's taxonomy places the organism in Eukaryota, Metazoa, Chordata, Actinopteri, Cyprinodontiformes, Goodeidae. The record is from RefSeq and is a predicted model, not a curated record. The transcript is spliced from 3 exons.
CACAGGAGGAGGGGCUGAUGAGGCACCUGUCCGGUAACGUACUGUACCCGGCUGUUUGCACGGACCAAUGGGCCUGUUACCCACUCCGCAACCACAUAUAGUGCUGUGGGUUAGGGUUUUAAUGCUGCUAGAGCAGAAAGGCAGUUGAAGAUCAGACGACGAGACGAAGAUGCUGCAGAUUAGAGGGAUGGAACCAUUUCCUGAGCAGGACAGAGACCAUCAGCUGGUUUACAUCGUCGGUACCAAAGCAUUAAGGAACUCUUCAAGAACAGCUCAUAUUUCUUACUCCCCUGAAUCAUCCACUGUUUCCUGUAAUGGUGGCGUUUCCAGUGGGCUCCUGAUCAUAAUCUCUCUAACCAGCCCAGCUUCAGGGACUACAGUGCUGAACAGUUUCUACAGAUAGUCGAUUCUACAGCUGCACCAUCAGGAAAAUAGCUUUCUAGAUGUCAGCUCAACAGAGGAAACCUUGAACCAUUUCACACAGAU